ACAUAUGUAUAGCAUAUACGCAUAGUAAGAUACACACAAACAUGUGGGCUAAUUUGUCGACCGUACUGGACGAGGUGCGCAAUAUGGUUCCGAAGAGUUACCUCACCAACCCCCUUUUACCGCCACACACCUCUCACCAACAUAUGUAGACUCGCUACUCACAUCUCCUCAAUGCAAAAGCUCACCGAAGCAAAAAUUCGACAAUUUCAAAUACAUAUUUUCAGGUUCUACUAAUGCGUUAGACAUUAACUUGAUGUUAGUUGAGUUUUGCGUAUCGUGUGGAAUGGUCUGAAAAUAGAGGACUAGAUACUAUUGUAUUAUAUAUUAAGUUCUUAACAUACACAUGUAUAUGCAAUAAAUAUAGGUACAACUUAUUUGUUAUUCCUUGGUGAACUACUAAAAGAAAAUCAUCAUUUGAAGUGCUUUUACUAUUGCAUAUCUGCAUACAUAUCUGUUGGAAUAUUUAUAAUAAACUCAUAUAAAUAAGAUAUUGCACAAAUAUGUCGGACGCAGCGAAUGGUGAGUCGAAAUUUGGGUUCAAGGAUAAGGAGAAGGCGGUCGAGACGCUACAAUUGCUCGAAAGUCAUGAUAUGCAAUACAGGAAAUUGACAGUACGAGGAUUGUUAGGACGCGCUAAACGUGUCCUUACCAUGACAAAAGCUGAGGAGAAACUCAAGAACAUCAACGAAGCAAUCGGAGUUUUCGAGAAAUGGCUUGAGGAGAAUGGCGGCGGGGCUGCCAAUAAAAAUUCUAAAACCGACAAAGAAGACAAAGUGGAAACAGUACCUGGUUUAGGCUUUAAGGAUAAGGAAGCGGCGGAAGCGACAUUGAGAAUACUUAAAGAUCGUGAUCCAGAUUAUCAAAGACUGGCUGUCAAAGGGUUGAUUGGUAGUUCAAAACGUGUACUCUCCGGCACAAAGAAUGAAGAUAAAAUCAAGUCUAUUAAUGAAGGUGUUAAGAUACUAGAAGAUUUCUUAGAGAAGUUCGAAACAGAAAAUUUAAUAAAAAAUAAUCGAGCCUACCUCGCAUAUUCCAUUAUCGAGCAAUUACCUGAAGCCAAAGAUGGGUUGGCCGCUGAAUUUGUGAAAGCUUAUGGAGGAGCCAAAGCUAAAGGCAACUACAAACAUUUACGUACUAUGUAUCCGGAAGCCGAUGACUCGACAUCAUGGGAUAUUAUGCGCAAUCGAAAUAUAGCAAAAAUUUUGGAAAAAAUUAAGGCUGAGGAUGCAAAAUUGUUCAAUGCUGAAACUGGUGAGCCAACAGAGAUUCAUCUGGAACUUAUACAUUGGGCCUACAGUCCACAAUCAGACAAGGUGAAAGCAUAUUUGGAGAAGAACUCAAAGAAAAAGGCUGAGAAACGUAAAAUUGAACAAAAGGAAAACUCCAGCUCUGACGAAGUUAACAGCGCUAGUAGCGAGGAUGAUGAUGAUGAUGAGGAUGGCGAAACACCACAAAAGAAAAAGAAGACUGCAUAGAUAUUGCGUAGUGGAGACAUAUUGCAGUAUCAAAUUUUUGUACUUAUAAAAUAAUGCUGAAUUUUCACUAAACAUUAAAUGACACAAUUUUCUUCGACAAUGUUUGGUAAAAAAAAAAUAACUCUGCCGAAUAAUGGCGAACUUCGAAAAAGCAGUUACGCAGAUUCAAUAAAGAAUAAUGCUCGAUUUCCACUCGGCAUUCAGCGGCAAAAAAUUGCAAUGACAAAGUUGGGCAUUA
Rhagoletis zephyria (snowberry fruit fly) is the source of this 1713-nucleotide RNA transcript. It is a transcript of the gene named Uracil-DNA degrading factor, with no coding region annotated. Lineage: Eukaryota; Metazoa; Arthropoda; Insecta; Diptera; Tephritidae. The record is from RefSeq and is a predicted model, not a curated record.